UACGGGAGGCAGCAGUGGGGAAUAUUGGGCAAUGGGGGAAACCCUGACCCAGCAACGCCGCGUGAGGGAAGAAGGUUUUCGGAUCGUAAACCUCCGUCCUUGGUGAAGAGGAAGAGACGGUAGCCAAGGAGGAAGCCCCGGCUAACUACGUGCCAGCAGCCGCGGUAAU
Molecule: ribosomal RNA, 169 nt
Filed under: uncultured rumen bacterium
Lineage: Bacteria
Description: partial 16S ribosomal RNA
Rfam family: Bacterial small subunit ribosomal RNA
Source: RNAcentral